RNAcentral lists this unclassified non-coding RNA (441 nucleotides) under Hevea brasiliensis (rubber tree). Lineage: Eukaryota; Viridiplantae; Streptophyta; Magnoliopsida; Malpighiales; Euphorbiaceae. The record is from RNAcentral.
GGGAACCUGAAAUUCCAUUUGAAUUGGCGGACGAGUCAAGGACUUUUUCUCUGUAAUUGUCGAAAUUAACUCAACCUCAGCACUCAAUGUUGAUUCAGUUUGCCCUGGAAAUUUUCGUAUCUUCCAAACCAAACAGUCAAUGGCUGCAUUAUACUUUGCUCUCCCUGACGUCACCUGGAAGUUUGUUUUAGCAGUUUGCUUUGGCACUGGAAUUUUAAUAACUACUCCAAGAGCAAACAUUUUUGCACCAAACACACUCUUAACCUUAACAUUCACUUCCAUACGUGUACGGCCUAAUUCUUUGAUAGUUGGUAAUACACGGAAAGGAAGAUUUACUCCUUCAGUGAUGCGGUACUUCAUUAAUUCAAAUUCACCAUCAGGCGGGACAAAACUGACGGUCUUCUCUGAGUUGAAUCUCGUCAAAUUUACACAUUGGUGGAA